Molecule: RNA transcript, 6757 nt
Organism: Drosophila subpulchrella
Lineage: Eukaryota; Metazoa; Arthropoda; Insecta; Diptera; Drosophilidae
Exons: 9
Source: RefSeq, a predicted model, not a curated record
GUAACGGCAAGUGGAACAUCCUAACAUCCUGGCAAUCCUAAGUAACUGCGCAUUCCGUCAUUAGCUUUUUUCCCUUCAACGCGACAGGACGUUUUUCCUUCCGUGUCCGCGCAUCCUUGGUUCACUGAAUUCUGCCGCACGCUUUUCUCGCCACCACCGAAACUUAUACAUCGCAUACCCAUACACAGCCGCUGAAAAGAAAAAGUUUAAACCCGAGUUCCAGUGAAAAAGAACAGUUUUCAAUAACGGGACUUGCAGUCUUUCCCGGAAGGGCACUGAGCUUCUUUCCUUAUAAUUUGCGAGAACAUUUUCACAUAAUUUGCAUGGAAAACAAAUGUACAUAAGCGACUGGAAGAAGCUCGAAUUUGCCAAUCAGCCGCAACAAUACAAGAAAAGUGCCAAAAUAUCGUAAAGCAUGUGAGUCUUCGACGAAAGGAAAAUAGCUGGACAUAAAAUUUACAGUUACGUGGGAUUUACAACCGAGAACAGUUACACACAGACAACCCCACUGGCCCACCCACACACACACUCGCAAGAAGUUACUGCGAUAGGGGCGGGGAAAGGGGAGUGGAGUCCUUGAAGCAUCUCGGCUUACGAACAACCCCCAACAACAUUGGGUGCGUCGGUACUCGGCCUGAACGUAACGGGAAACGGCAAAAAAUAACCGUCAACAAAAAACAAACAAACACAAACACAGGAAGCCGACAGAGUCCGUGUGUGUGUUCUGGUGUAGAUUUACCGUUGCCCUUUCAUCUGCGGCAAGAGUGUGUGUGGGCGCCACAAUAAAAGGAGGCGCAAAGGAUAUUAUGAGGCCGACGUUGUCUGCCGCAUUUGCGAAUAAGCAACUACCAUCCGUCCACUUUGGUUAAGACUAGGGAUACCACUAUGUUUGGAUCCAAGCUGCGCUCCUGGAUGGAGACGCACAUCGUGCGUCCCCGUAAGAAGGGCAGCAAGCACAAGCAGGCGGUCUCGGAAGCGGGCAGUUCCUGCUCCGGGAAGAAGGCGGGCACCCUGCCGCCGCAGGGAAGCAACUUGACCAGUCCGGUCCUGACCAGCAGCGGGAGCCACAGCAUCGCCAGUCCGGUGCGGAGGCGCGAGGUCUCGCCAAUCCAGUGCCACCCACCCAGUCGGCGAUAUGGCUGGCAAUCCCCAGACGAAGACUCAUACGUCAUAACUUCGCCCAAGUCGGACAAUCUGCUAUACGCUCCGCACUGCUAUCAGCCCCACCAGCCGCUGCAGCAGCCUUCGCACCACCUUAGUGUGCCCAAUAGCAAGGAUAACUCCUGUGCCGAGAAGUCGCCCAUCAGGGUAAACUGCUCCUCGUCCUCCAUAUCGUCGUUGUCCUGGUCAACAGGCUCCAAGGAACCCUCUUCUGGCAAGCAAGCCACUUUUAGGGAGCAGGCCAUAAAUGGGGAAUACCACAUCCCACCAGAGGAGGAGGCGGAGUACGAGGAGGUGGGCGCUCUGUUGCUCCGGCCUCCGGCCCCCAUUGCGGAACAGCAGCGUCCACAGUCCGAGAACUUGAGCGCCAUGCGGCUUAUCUACGAGGAGGAGCCCAGGCAGAGCAGCAACCAUGUCCGAUACGGGCGCCUGCUUCCCUCCAAGCUGGCGCAGGCUCAGCUUGGCGAGUCUCUGGACAAUUUGACAGCUACGCCUCCAGUCCCACCCGCUCCACCUUCCGGUUCGCGUAUGCGAACUCCCCGCGGAAUGCAGCGCAGCAACUUUAUGCCAGGACCUAGGCCCCACAGCUUGCCCUCGCCAGAGAGCGCCUACUCCACGGGCUACUCCACAGAUGGCACAUCGCCGUGCGCCGCCAGCAACUACAAUCCGCCCGAGUACUACAUCAACAUGCGCUCGGGAACCCACUACUUCCCCAAGAGCGUAAAUUCGCUGGCCAUCGAGGCAAAGCGCUACAAGUUCGGCCUAAACCGCAUUGAGGAGAUGUCGCCCAUGGAUCCGCUGCCUAAGAGCAACUUCGCAAGUGCCAAUCAUGGCCUGGAGUCGUCGCCCAGUCCGCUGGCAGUGCGGCAGCAGCCCAAGCUUUUUGAAUCUCCUUCGCCGAGACAGCGCUGUCGCAUAAGAACAAAUCCAUGGUACAACACGGGAGAGCACUUACCAGCCUCCUCGGGCCCCACGCGCCUGGAUCUGGAUGCCACCAGCACCACCUCCACGACCUCGUCGGGCAUUAAGUCAAGCAAUGAGCUGGAAGUUCCGGCGGCCAAAACAACAGCAAACAAAGCAGGAAAGGCAGCCGCUCAUACUGCCAACCCCAACAGCCGAGGCACUCCUAGCAAGUCUGCCAAAGUGGCAGGUGUGGACACUGUUGAGGGUGGGUCUGGUGGUGCACCUGGUUCAGGGGUCGCUUACGAGUCCGAGGGCUCUUCGACGUCGACUGAAGUGGAAAAUCUGCAUGCCCCACACACCAUAAAGCGUCGUCACAUGGAGCAAGCGGAGACGACAACAACUUCAGCGCCUGUGGCUGCUGGCGGUGGAGCUGGAGCUACCACCAUCUCCUUCGUGCUCAGUGAUGACGAGGCCACACUCAACGAGAUGAUUGGGAAGUUUGACGAGAGCUACAUCUACGAAAAGGAGACUGACAUACUAAGCAGCGACUCGGAUAUUACUGACUGCUGUGCCUCGGAGCUGGAUACUGGACAGGAUGCGGGUGAUGAGUGUGACACGGACGAGCUUUUGGAUAUUGACUUUAUAGACACUUCUUCCAUGCAAGAGGUGGUAAUCGAUCGCCAGGACCUUUCGCGCAAUCUGGGCAGCUGCCACUACUAUUCGAAUCAACCGAUUAGCCCGAUAAUGAAGCGGAAGGCUUCAACCCGCUCCCGCCGCAAAAGCGGUCAAGAGACAGGAGAAAGCUCCCAACAGCGUCGUCGCAAGCGGUUCCUUAAGACCCGCAAGAAGAGCUGCGAAAACCGCGAAAAGCUCCCUUCGUCGCCACUCCGUGAGCCUCGCGGAACCCGAAGUGUGGGAGGUACGCCCGUCUGUUUACGCCGUAAUCUACUGAGUGCACGGGAGAGGAUCUACAAGACUUCCCCUCUCUCAAACCGCUCUAAUUCGCUGAUCUUUGGCAGCAGCAAUGAGAAGAACACACUCACAAUCGCAGAAAGCGAAAAGGCUCUUCUCAAGGCAGACUUAGAGGCUGAUAUGAAGUACAAGCAGCUCAUCAUGGAGGCAGAGUCUUUGCUGGAGUCUAUGAAGAACAGCUUACAGAGUAUUCCCAGAGACACUCCCGUCGCCAGUCCGAGGCGCUUAAAUCCCUUGGCCAAUAAGCGCGUGGAGAUGCUCAAGAACAGUGAGGUGGACUCAAAAAAACAAGCGCCACCUCAAAAUCCUCCUCCACUAGAGCAUGAACUAGCCGCAGCUAUUAAUAAACGCAUAGAGAUGCUAAAGUUUGAGACUACGUCUGCUUCCUCGCCACCAAACAGUCCCAAACUUGGGCGUUGCAGUCCUCGCAAGACGCACCUGACCAACUUCAUGAAUCAAAAUGCGCCGCCAGAGCUGCCGCCCCGCAAGAUAAACGGCAACACUCCCACUGCUCCACUCUCGCCGCAGCUUCAGCUAAAUGGCAGGCGCCUCCAGGAGAGUCCAAAGGGCAAGAGGCGCACUAUGAUGGUAACAUCCACGACCACGACAACGGUGAUCAGCUUUAACGGCAGUGAUUCUGAGAUGGAGAGCAUUGCUGUGGAGGAUAUUGGCAAUCACAACUACUUGCCACAGCAGCAGUCGAACACGAAAAUCAAGAUGGAUGUCCAAACACAGCAUAAAUUGAGUGCGGAGUCACAGAUUAACAACAACUUUUAUUGCCCACAUAGCGAGCCCUUGAAGCGAAAGGUCUACAAGGGAAGCUCCUCCUUCGAGCGCAUAAAGAAGAACUUCGACAUGGAAUUGGAUGCGAACGGACGGAGCAAGUCGAAUGAGCGUUCGCAAAUUAAACUUACGGCCUCCGUGUCGGCCAAGAGCUCUAUGCAAGACGUGACCGUUGACGAGGCCAAGGGCCAGGCAAUGGGCGGUAGCGACCGCAAGCAGCAGCUUAUACUUAACACCAUCGUCGAUUUGAAGCGCAGCUUGGAGCAUCAGAGUCACCAGUUGAGUGGCCUAAAUGGUGAACAGAACUGAGUGAACUAACUAAUAGGGCUAAUAUCAUCAUCAUUAUACUUCACCAUGCAUUAUCUAGACAGUAACUAGUUCACUAAGACCUAAGCUAACAGUCCAACCGAAUCCCUCAGACUAGACACUGAAACUGAGCGCAAUAACUUUCUAACUGAUAAGAGAAGACGAUUAUUUACACGUAUGGUAUGAUACUCAAUGGGCGUAAUAGGAACGAUGGACUGUUAUGGAAAGUUAUUACGAAAAAUUUGUAGCAUGUAGCAAAUUGUUUUUGAUGGAGUUUUACAAACGUAUACAUAACCGAAAUGAUUUCUGUAUGAAGUAUUUCAAGUUUGAUCUUUAGUUUAAAAAUGUUUUUUGAUAUACUCGUAUCAUCCAUUUUAGUUAAAGCAUAUCGAAACUGUUCUAUACUGACAUUCUGUUUAUAUUUAUCGUUUAGGUUUGUUUUUUUAAUUCGAUAAGUACUUGUUUUUAUGGAAAUCCUAACGUUAUAUUUUAUAUUUGUUUGAGAAACGUCAAGCUGGAAACGUGUUUAGAACACUAGUUCCUUGACAAGUUCUGUUUAACUAUCCUACCAACUCAUACUAUCCAAACUUAGCUUGAAUACGUUGAUAUUAGUCACUAUAAAAAACUACAUAAGUCAAUAACUGGUAAUAUUCCUUAGUUACUUAUCGAGCGUUUGUGGGUGCGUUAAUGUGAAAAAAUAUCCUUAAUUAUUAAUGCAUAUCCCACAUGAACCUCGCCUACAAUUAGAGAGCUCAUCUUAUCGCUAGACUUGGUAGAACAUUUCACUUAAUCAGCAUUAUCACAAAAGUAUUCAGAUGUAGUUAUUUAAGUAAAUUGUAUUACGAUCCAUCCAAACGAAAAUUGUUUAGCCAAAUUGUUUGUAGACCAAUGAAAGGAAAAGACAUUGUUUUACUGUUUUGUUUCCUCAGUUAAGAAGAUGAGGAGGAUUGUGUUUUUAUGCUAGACAUUGGAUAAUCCUAACCAAAAUCGAGUUAUAUUUCAAUUGGUCUCACCAUGAAUUUAUAAUAUGUUGUAUUGGCAAAAAUUAUAAUGAUUUCCAAUUGGGGGUAAAUUGGUUGUAAUUUGGAUUAAUCGACUUGUGAAAUUAUGAAUUAUGUAUUGUGUUGUGUAUCCACUUAAUAUGCAUAUAGACGCUGUAGAACCUACACAAAGAAUACAUAAUCUAAGUAAUACUGUAACGUGAUAAUAAACUUAAUGAAAACCCCAAGACCAAAAUCAAACGAGAUCCGAAUCAAAGGGGAUCGACGGUGUAGUAAGUAUAAAGUAGUUACAUGUAGCUUAACAGUUAUGUUUGUGGUUUUUGUUUCACACAUGUGUGCACUUUGUAGCUUUGCGUACUUGUUUCUCAUUGAAAUUAAAAUUGCAAUUAGUUUUCGUUUUCGCUUACGUACUAGUGCCUGCUUAUAGUGCAGGAGGGGUAGUGGUCGGGUAUGUUGUGUUAAAUUUACUUAAUUAGUUUCACCCGCGACGCGACACUUGAACAUCGAACACCAGGCACCAAGCACUGACCGCUGGCCCCGCAAGGCGAAAGACGCACGCCGCGAAAUCAAGACAUCGAACUCGAUAUUUUGAACUUUAAAUGGGCUGCUAAUGCGUAGUUCCACCCAGCCCACUGUGACGACUCGGACCUGCAGCUGUCAUGGUAAUUUAUGCGCCCUAGAUUCCAAAUAUUCAGUUGGAUUUCCUAUUCCGAUUAAAGCGACCUUAAGACAAUCCGACGAGCUUUUGAUAAGACGAUUUACAAACCGCAACUUAGGAGAGACUGCAUCAGAUUCACUCCCAUGACGGGGAUAAGCAUCCGUUGGGGAUGGGCUAAACCCGGUACCACGAGUGGUAUGAGUGAUAUUCGUUGUUGCUGAAUACCCAUUAUCCUAUCAGACGACGACACAUUCAUGGUGGAAUUUCCAGAGACGCCGAUCCGAACCCCGUUUCUUGUCAUCUCGUUCGUUAUUAUGUCUGGCUGUAAAAAUAAACCCACACCGUUCUAAAAAUCCCCAGAAGAGCAUCGACAAUGGAAAAUUAGCAGACAGAUCAUGGACUGGUCGUCCGAGCCUCCGCCGCUGCUAAUUAUGCAAAUGGGGACCGAGGAAGGGAGCGGGCUGGAAGAGGAACGGCUGCCUGCCUGCCCGCUGGAAUACCAAUUGACCGGGCCACGCUUGAAACAUCAAAUCAGCAUUAAGUGGGCAAAAAACGUGGCUCGAAAGAGCGGCCAUAAAAUGGCUGGUGGCCCAGUGAAGGAGGCGCGACCUGCUCUGGCUGCGUUGGAGAUGUGCCCUAUAUGGCCAAACUGGUUCGGCUUCCACGCUCUGGAGGAGGCGGAAUGCAACCCGAAUGGCAGGGGCCGGUCCCCUAGAUGCAUACCUCUGCUUUGCUUUGUUUUGCUUAUUGGGGACGACGGGUACUUAUCCAAAGAAUGCUGCAAAUUAAAGGAAGUCGAAAAAACUUAAUAAUUCGAACACUUCAACUAUUUUAAAAAAAUAAACAGAGGAAUGGAUAACAGCUAGAAUAUAUAAAACGCGAUCUAAAUAAGGGAGUACAGUUCGUAUUCUUAUAUAUUAUCCUAUGACUAUUUAAACUAGAUCUUAAUACGAAAAAUAAAUAAAAGCAAAGU